RNAcentral lists this ribosomal RNA (253 nucleotides) under uncultured bacterium. RNAcentral's name for it is "partial 16S ribosomal RNA". It matches the Rfam family "Bacterial small subunit ribosomal RNA", at positions 524 to 776 of the family's 1533-position model. The record is from RNAcentral.
UACGGAGGGGGCUAGCGUUGUUCGGAAUUACUGGGCGUAAAGCGUACGUAGGCGGCUUUGUAAGUUAGAGGUGAAAGCCCGGGGCUCAACCCCGGAAUUGCCUUUAAGACUGCAUCGCUUGAAUCAUGGAGAGGUGAGUGGAAUUCCGAGUGUAGAGGUGAAAUUCGUAGAUAUUCGGAAGAACACCAGUGGCGAAGGCGACUCACUGGACAUGUGUUGACGCUGAGGUACGAAAGCGUGGGGAGCAAACAGG